AUUCUGCUGUGAUGAACCAUGGAAAAAAUUCACAUGUCAGACUUCAGAGAUUUUGCAUAAAAAUCUAUGAGAAGAAACGUUCAUGUUUCCUGAGCAGACA
Small nucleolar RNA from Diospyros lotus (date-plum), 100 nucleotides. RefSeq annotates it as small nucleolar RNA R64/Z200 family. NCBI's taxonomy places the organism in Eukaryota, Viridiplantae, Streptophyta, Magnoliopsida, Ericales, Ebenaceae. The record is from RefSeq and is a predicted model, not a curated record. The transcript has a single exon.